This 853-nucleotide ribosomal RNA is filed under the name uncultured Pseudotomentella. RNAcentral describes it as "eukaryotic LSU rRNA". The stretch from base 282 to 435 matches the Rfam family "5.8S ribosomal RNA". The record is from RNAcentral. Lineage: Eukaryota; Fungi; Basidiomycota; Agaricomycetes; Thelephorales; Thelephoraceae.
UCUUGGUCAUUUAGAGGAAGUAAAAGUCGUAACAAGGUUUCCGUAGGUGAANCCUGCGGAAGGAUCAUUAAUGAAAUGAAUGUCGAGAAGGGUUGUAGCUGGCCUCUUGGGGGGUAUGUGCACACCGUGAUCGCACAUCCACAUCUUACACCUGUGCACUAUGUGUAGCUUGGGAUGAUUACAAUAUUGUUCCCAAUAUUGAAAGCCCUAGCUAUGAAUUUUUAUAUACACAUAUACAAAGUUAUAGAAUGGAUAUAGCAUGUAACAAUGCAAAUAUAUACAACUUUCAGCAACGGAUCUCUUGGCUCUCGCAUCGAUGAAGAACGCAGCGAAAUGCGAUAAGUAAUGUGAAUUGCAGAAUUCAGUGAAUCAUCGAAUCUUUGAACGCACCUUGCGCUCCUUGGUAUUCCGAGGAGCAUGCCUGUUUGAGUGUCAUGAAAUUCUCAACUGCUUUUAGUAUUUAUACUGAGGGUGAAGUUGGAGUUGGAGGAAUAAUUGCUGGCGUAACUUAGGUUGCUGGUCGGCUCCUCUUGAAUGGAUAAGCUUUUUCUGAUAGAUUGCAGCUCAGUAGCACUAAUGUGAUAAUUAUCUAUGUUAGAUGUGAAAGCUGUAAGUAGAGUGACUUCGGAGCUCCUAUAGAAAAGUUUGGACCCUUAAAUAAUAAUGAAUCUGACCUCAAAUCAGGUAGGACUACCCGCUGAACUUAAGCAUAUCAAUAAGCGGAGGAAAAGAAACUAACAAGGAUUCCCCUAGUAACUGCGAGUGAAGCGGGAAAAGGCUCAAAUUUAAAAUCUGGCGUGCCUUUGGCCGUCCGAGUUGUAGUCUGGAGAAGUGUUUUCCGCGCUGGACCGUG